UGACUCUGGCCUGAAAUCAGGUAGGACUACCCGCUGAACUUAAGCAUAUCAAUAAGCGGAGGA
RNAcentral lists this ribosomal RNA (63 nucleotides) under Trichosporon asteroides. RNAcentral's name for it is "partial 28S ribosomal RNA". It matches the Rfam family "Eukaryotic large subunit ribosomal RNA", at positions 1 to 57 of the family's 3401-position model. The record is from RNAcentral. RNAcentral also lists the same sequence under 1 other name. Lineage: Eukaryota; Fungi; Basidiomycota; Tremellomycetes; Trichosporonales; Trichosporonaceae.